ACCACUGGCCCGAAGAUGCGAAAGUGUCUGCCGCCAGACCCCCAUUGAAUGUGCCAGAGUGUCUCCACAUUUUACCGGCGAUGCUAAGACAGACAUGGCACAGAGAUGUAUGGAUAACCUGCAGAUGCAUUUGCAACUAUAUAUUCAACGAAAUCACAAAGACUACAAAGGCGGAAGCGCGCAAGUGUUCAGGAUUUAUGCAGAUCCCAAACACAGAUCAGCGGGUACCAAAAGAGCAGAAGGCGUCUCCAAGGUGUUGUCCAGUUUGUGACCAAUGCAAAUUCACAAAAGUCUCAGUGCCCAGAUUCGGAGCUCUCAAGGUUGGCAGGAUAACCACUCACAGAGAUCAUGGGAGGCACCACUGAACACCUGGCGGGUUUUACAGAAGACCGAGAAGUGAUCACACCUGCAACUGCAUGGAUCAUGUUAGGGGAUUGGCCACAUAUGUGGUCCUCUCCAAGGUUUCUCAUAGUCAUCAUGGUCGACGUCCCACUGGGGUGAGUUUUUCCUUGCCCUUAUGUGGGCGCUACCGAGGAUGUCGUUGUGGUUUGUGCAGCCCUUUGAGGCACUUGUGAUUUAGAGCUAUGUAAAUAAACAUUGAUUGAUUGAUUGAUUGACCGACCAAAGAGCAUAAAACAAAUAAAAUAAUAGAACGUAAAAUCGACAGAUUUAUCUGAAGUUGAUCUUGUAACUUAAGUGUUGAAAUUAAAAAAAAACCUAAUAAAAAUGUAUAAUUUUCUGAGUGGGGAACCUUUUGGAUCCCAAAUAUAUUUAGAUGUAUUUUAUUCAUCUUUUCACUGUGAUUACUCAAAUAUAAUAAAUAAUUUAAAAUCAAUGGUGGCAAUUAUUAUUUAUAUUUUAGGGCUCUAAUGACUAAAUACUGCAUAUUUCAGUUUUACUAUAAAAAACAAAAGUUAUUUUUAAAAUAAAAGCCAUAAAACCUUUUUUUUUAUAGUUGAUAUUGAGAUUUACUGUAAGCGUUAAAUAAGAAAUAACAGUAAAACUUAUUUGACUUAUUUUUAACAUUUUAAUAACUGAGGCCCUUUAAGGUCCCUGUAGGUAAAAUAUAUAUUUUUUUUAAAUCCAUAAAUUUUGUUAAGGUUUUAAAAUAAAAAAAAUUAAAAAUCCAUAUAUUUUGUUAAGGUUUGAAAAUAAUAAAAUAUCAAAAUAGCCCCCACAUGCUUUAAUUUUUCCGUGUGCGGCCCUCAGUGGAAAAAGUUUGGACACCCCUGACUUAGACAAACGCAUCUAUACUUUUGACCAUUUUGAGACGGAAAUUUCCAGGAGUGAUCUCACCCUCAGAGAAGCCUCCAUUUUACUAAUGUUUUCCAAUGUUAUAAAAAUUUGUAGAAUAAAUAUUACAUUUCAACAUUUCUAUCAUUAAAGAUUUGCAUCAGCCUGUGAAACAUAGUCAGUUUGAUAGUUAAUAUCUAAUUUAAGCACAUACAACAUGGUACCUUCACCAUAAGUAUUAUAUAAGGCUUUUAAUGUUUUGCGGCUCCAGAAUAUUUUUUGGUGUAUAUUUUUUGGUCCAAUAUGGCUCUUUCAACAUUUUAGGUUGCCGACCCCUGUCCUAAACCCAAAAUCUUGUCAAAUUCGUUGGGGCCAGUUAAACAGUUCCAAUGUUGAUUUGGAGAGCCGUGCAAAAGGAGGCAACAAAAAAGUUAAAGGCCUACUGAAAGCCACUACUAGCGACCACGCAGUCUGAUAGUUUAUAUUGUAGAGGACAUUUUGUUCCAGCACCGUUCCCAGCUAUAAGUCGUCUCUAUUCUUCGCAUAAUUCAACAGUAUUCUGGACAUCUGUGUUACUGAAUCUUUUACAAUUUGUU
Long non-coding RNA from Nerophis ophidion (straightnose pipefish), 1829 nucleotides. RefSeq lists it as uncharacterized. NCBI's taxonomy places the organism in Eukaryota, Metazoa, Chordata, Actinopteri, Syngnathiformes, Syngnathidae. The transcript is spliced from 5 exons. The record is from RefSeq and is a predicted model, not a curated record.